AAGCGAGAUCUGUCAAUGUUGGCGGAAAAUUUCAAUUAGGCUUUUGACAUGUGAAAUAAGAACAGUAAACACAUAUUAACGAUAAAAAUGAGUGGUUGGAUUUGUGUUAAUACUGAUUUUGAUGGAGAUGAAACUGCUCAUUUUGGACCAAGGAAAGAGACCGGUACCUCCCUGUAUCAAGUUGAUACUCUUGCAACAAUAUCUUCCCAAGAAAAGAAUCGAACAAAGCAGCUCAAAGUAGUGUCAUCAGUUUUGGGAGAUUUUGGAUGUUUGGCUAUUUGUAAAGACCUAUCCAUAUUCAAAGAUUUCCAGUUUGCUUUCACGUUAAGUUUUGAUGAUGCUGUUGAUGCUGUGGGUUGGAGUCCAGAUGGUAGAUUAUUGGUUGUAGGAACUAAAGAUGGCAAAAUAUAUCUGGUAGAAACAGAAACCUAUCAAAUAUUGUUUACUUUCGCAGUAUUUCCAGAAGCUAGUAUAACUAAUGGAGCAGCCUUUAGACGAAUAUUGUUUCAAGAAAAACACAAUGAAGAACUUGUAUGUGAUGUGUUUUUUCUAUCAACGGAUGGUUUGGUUUGUAUUAUGAAGAGUUUAGAUCUUUCUAUAUUUACAGAAG
Long non-coding RNA from Patella vulgata (common limpet), 610 nucleotides. RefSeq lists it as uncharacterized. The record is from RefSeq and is a predicted model, not a curated record. The transcript has 6 exons. NCBI's taxonomy places the organism in Eukaryota, Metazoa, Mollusca, Gastropoda, Patellidae.